RNAcentral lists this ribosomal RNA (392 nucleotides) under uncultured bacterium. Its description in RNAcentral is "partial 16S ribosomal RNA". It matches the Rfam family "Bacterial small subunit ribosomal RNA", at positions 523 to 918 of the family's 1533-position model. The record is from RNAcentral.
AUACGGAGGAUCCGAGCGUUAUCCGGAUUUAUUGGGUUUAAAGGGUGCGCAGGCGGCCAUUUAAGUCAGCAGUUAAAUCGUGGGGCUCAACCCCAUUCUGCCGUUGAUACUGGGUGGCUUGAUUGCGGUCGAGGUUGGCGGAAUUCGUUGUGUAGCGGUGAAAUGCAUAGAUAUGACGAAGAACACCGAUUGCGUAGGCAGCUGACCAGACCGCAAAUGACGCUCAUGCACGAAAGUGCGGGGAUCGAACAGGAUUAGAUACCCUGGUAGUCCGCACAGUAAACGAUGAAUACUUGUUUUCGGCGAUAUAAUGUCGGAGGCAAAGCGAAAGCGAUAAGUAUUCCACCUGGGGAGUACGCCGGCAACGGUGAAACUCAAAUGAAUUGACGGGG